This 63-nucleotide transfer RNA is filed under the name Dorcus davidis. RNAcentral describes it as "tRNA-Ile". Lineage: Eukaryota; Metazoa; Arthropoda; Insecta; Coleoptera; Lucanidae. The record is from RNAcentral.
AGUAAAGUGCCUGAUAAAAGGAUUGUUUUGAUAGAGCAAAUUAUGUGAAUUUCACCUUUAUUA